GAAUCGCAUGGCCUUGCGCCGGCGACGGUUCAUUCAAAUUUCUGCCCUAUCAACUUUCGAUGGUAAGGUAUUGGCUUACCAUGGUUUCAACGGGUAACGGGGAAUUAGGGUUCGAUUCCGGAGAGGGAGCCUGAGAAACGGCUACCACAUCCAAGGAAGGCAGCAGGCGCGCAAAUUACCCGAUCCCGACACGGGGAGGUAGUGACAAUAAAUACUGAUACAGGGCUCUUUUGGGUCUUGUAAUCGGAAUGAGUACAAUUUAAACCCCUUAACGAGGAACAAUUGGAGGGCAAGUCUGGUGCCAGCAGCCGCGGUAAUUCCAGCUCCAAUAGCGUAUAUUAAAGUUGUUGCAGUUAAAAAGCUCGUAGUUGAACCUUGGGCCCGGCUGGCCGGUCCGCCUCACCGCGUGUACUGGUCCGGCCGGGCCUUUCCUUCUGGAGAGCCCCAUGCCCUUCACUGGGUGUGCGGGGGAACCAGGACUUUUACUUUGAAAAAAUUAGAGUGUUCAAAGCAGGCCUUUGCUCGAAUACGUUAGCAUGGAAUAAUAGAAUAGGACGUGCGAUCCUAUUUUGUUGGUUUCUAGGACCGCCGUAAUGAUUAAUAGGGACAGUCGGGGGCAUCAGUAUUCAAUUGUCAGUGGUGAAAUUCUUGGAUUUAUUGAAGACUAACUACUGCGAAAGCAUUUGCCAAGGAUGUUUUCAUUAAUCAGUGAACGAAAGUUAGGGGAUCGAAGACGAUCAGAUACCGUCGUAGUCUUAACCGUAAACUAUGCCGACUAGGGAUCGGGCGAUGUUUUUAUCUUGACUCGCUCGGCACCUUACGAGAAAUCAAAGUUUUUGGGUUCUGGGGGGAGUAUGGUCGCAAGGCUGAAACUUAAAGAAAUUGACGGAAGGGCACCACCAGGCGUGGA
Molecule: ribosomal RNA, 910 nt
Filed under: uncultured eukaryote
Lineage: Eukaryota
Description: SSU rRNA
Rfam family: Eukaryotic small subunit ribosomal RNA
Source: RNAcentral